AUUGAACGCUGGCGGCAUGCCUUACACAUGCAAGUCGAACGGCAGCACGGAGCUUGCUCUGGUGGCGAGUGGCGAACGGGUGAGUAAUAUAUCGGAACGUACCCUGGAGUGGGGGAUAACGUAGCGAAAGUUACGCUAAUACCGCAUACGAUCUAAGGAUGAAAGUGGGGGAUCGCAAGACCUCAUGCUCGUGGAGCGGCCGAUAUCUGAUUAGCUAGUUGGUAGGGUAAAAGCCUACCAAGGCAUCGAUCAGUAGCUGGUCUGAGAGGACGACCAGCCACACUGGAACUGAGACACGGUCCAGACUCCUACGGGAGGCAGCAGUGGGGAAUUUUGGACAAUGGGCGCAAGCCUGAUCCAGCAAUGCCGCGUGAGUGAAGAAGGCCUUCGGGUUGUAAAGCUCUUUUGUCAGGGAAGAAACGGUGAGAGCUAAUAUCCCUUGCUAAUGACGGUACCUGAAGAAUAAGCACCGGCUAACUACGUGCCAGCAGCCGCGGUAAUACGUAGGGUGCAAGCGUUAAUCGGAAUUACUGGGCGUAAAGCGUGCGCAGGCGGUUUUGUAAGUCUGAUGUGAAAUCCCCGGGCUCAACCUGGGAAUUGCAUUGGAGACUGCAAGGCUAGAAUCUGGCAGAGGGGGGUAGAAUUCCACGUGUAGCAGUGAAAUGCGUAGAUAUGUGGAGGAACACCGAUGGCGAAGGCAGCCCCCUGGGUCAAGAUUGACGCUCAUGCACGAAAGCGUGGGGAGCAAACAGGAUUAGAUACCCUGGUAGUCCACGCCCUAAACGAUGUCUACUAGUUGUCGGGUCUUAAUUGACUUGGUAACGCAGCUAACGCGUGAAGUAGACCGCCUGGAGAGUACGGUCGCAAGAUUAAAACUCAAAGGAAUUGACGGGGACCCGCACAAGCGGUGGAUGAUGUGGAUUAAUUCGAUGCAACGCGAAAAACCUUACCUACCCUUGACAUGGCUGGAAUCCCUGAGAGAUUGGGGAGUGCUCGAAAGAGAACCAGUACACAGGUGCUGCAUGGCUGUCGUCAGCUCGUGUCGUGAGAUGUUGGGUUAAGUCCCGCAACGAGCGCAACCCUUGUCAUUAGUUGCUACGAAAGGGCACUCUAAUGAGACUGCCGGUGACAAACCGGAGGAAGGUGGGGAUGACGUCAAGUCCUCAUGGCCCUUAUGGGUAGGGCUUCACACGUCAUACAAUGGUACAUACAGAGCGCCGCCAACCCGCGAGGGGGAGCUAAUCGCAGAAAGUGUAUCGUAGUCCGGAUUGUAGUCUGCAACUCGACUGCAUGAAGUUGGAAUCGCUAGUAAUCGCGGAUCAGCAUGUCGCGGUGAAUACGUUCCCGGGUCU
Molecule: ribosomal RNA, 1352 nt
Filed under: uncultured bacterium
Lineage: Bacteria
Description: bacterial SSU rRNA
Rfam family: Bacterial small subunit ribosomal RNA
Source: RNAcentral